RNAcentral lists this ribosomal RNA (397 nucleotides) under uncultured bacterium. RNAcentral's name for it is "partial 16S ribosomal RNA". It matches the Rfam family "Bacterial small subunit ribosomal RNA", at positions 360 to 774 of the family's 1533-position model. The record is from RNAcentral.
AAUCUUGGACAAUGGGGGAAAGCCUGACGCAGCCUUGCCGCGUGAAUGAUGAAGGUCUUAGGUUUGUAAAAUUCUUUCACCGGGGACGAUAAUGACGGUACCCGGAGAAGAAGCCCCGGCUAACUUCGUGCCAGCAGCCGCGGUAAUACGAAGGGGGCUAGCGUUGUUCGGAAUUACUGGGCGUAAAGCGCACGUAGGCGGAUCGGUCAGUUAGGGGUGAAAUCCCAGGGCUCAACCCUGGAACUGCCUUUGAUACUGGCGAUCUUGAGUAUGAGAGAGGUAUGUGGAACUCCGAGUGUAGAGGUGAAAUUCGUAGAUAUUCGGAAGAACACCAGUGGCGAAGGCGACAUACUGGCUCAUUACUGACGCUGAGGCGCGAAAGCGUGGGGAGCAAACA